Molecule: long non-coding RNA, 2249 nt
Filed under: Homo sapiens (human)
Lineage: Eukaryota; Metazoa; Chordata; Mammalia; Primates; Hominidae
Description: non-protein coding lnc-MAEA-9:3
Source: RNAcentral
AUCAGCACCGGCCCCAUCUCCCUAGCAGGAAGCUGGGCAGCCACUGCAGGCCAGGUGUGGACGACCCUCACAACUCUCCCAUCUGCGUGGACAUCGCUGGACGGGGUGAAGACGUCCUGUGCCUGUUAGCAACCGCUCCCCGCCACGGUUUGAGUGAGGCCACAACAGAACAUCAGACAGCAGUUUAUCAACAGAGACUUCCUGCCUCCCCGUCUGGAGGCCAAGGGCCCUUAUAAAAGGGCUAGAAGGAACUAGCUUGGCUGUUUUUCCUCCGAAUUCUGCCAUGUGAGGCUGGAUACGCCAUUGGAGCUGCCCUCAGCAGACCCCAGCCUGCCGGCACCUGGAUCUUGGACUCCCCAGCUUGAGAACUACAGGAAAUAAAUUUCUGUUGCUUAUAAAUUACUCAGUCUGAGGUGUUUUGUUACAGCAGCGGGGAUGGACUAAGACCCUUCCCAUUUUCCCCCAGCUGUGCCCUCGCCCCCAGCCCCGGGCAGCUGGGAGUCUACUCUGUGUCACCGUGGACCUGCCCAUUCCAGACAUUUGACAUAAAUGGUCUCAUGUGAUAUGUGGCCGUCUGCGUCUGACCUCCUUCACUUGGCAAAUGUUUGCGAGGUUCAUCCACUUUGGAGCAUGGGCCAGAGCUUCAUUCCUUUUUACGGGUGAAGAAUAGUGUGGGGCCAGGCCACAAUGUGCCCAUCUGUCCCUCAGCAGAUGGACAUGUAGGCUGUGCCCACCUUUGGGCUAUUGUGAAUAAUGCUACCAGGAACAUUUGUGGAUAAGCUUUUGUGUGGAUAAGCUUUUGUUUCUGAUUCUCGGGGACGUGUACCCAGGAGUGGGAUUGCUGGGUCACAUGGAAUUCGGCUUCACACUUUGAAGAACAGAACAGCCGCAUGUGAGGUUCCCACGUCUCCGCCCUGACACCUAUGAUGCUUUCGGUUCCAGCCAUCCCAGUGGGUGUGAGGUGUGGUCUCGUGUGGUUUUUAUUUGCAUUUCCCUGGUGGCUAAUGGUGUUAAGCAGCUUGUCAUGAGCUUGUUGGCUGGUCGCAUAUAUUAUUUGGAAAAAACAUCUAUUCAAAUUCUUUUGCCUUUUUUUUUUGAGUUAGAGUCUCUCUCUGUCACCCAGGCUGGAGUGCAGUGGCGCGAUCUCAGCUCACUGCAACCUCUGCCUCCCAGGUUCAAGCAAUUCUCUUGCCUCUGCCUCCUGAGUAGCUGGGAUUACAGGCGUGCACCACCACGUGGUGGCUAAUUGUUGUAUUUUUAGUAGAGAUGUGGUUUCACCACGUUGGCCAGGCUGGUCUCAAACUCCUGACCUCAAAUGGUCCCCCCAGCUUGGCCUCCCAAAGUGCUGGGAUUACAGGCGUGAGCCACUGCGCCCGGCCUCUCCCAGUUUGCCCAUUUUUUAACUAGGUUGUUUAUCUUUGUAUUGCUGAGCUGUGAGAGUUCUUUAGCACACUGGUUUUUCACUACCUUACCCUGGAGCCGAUACACAUCCUUUCUGCUCAGUCAUUAGCCAGAAAUGCAGAGAAAUGCUACUGUGUGACCCCAUGACCUCAGCCUGAUGUGCAGGGGUCCCCAGAAUAUUAGACGGGCACUGACUGUCUGCAGGAUACAGACCCGGGAGGGUGGCUUUGCACUGCUGAUCUGAACACAGCCUCUCACUGAUUCAAAACGUCCUUUUGGCGUGUCUGUAAUGCCUGCGUGUUCACCGUUCGCAUUGUUACUGUGAGCGACCCACGCACCAGCUCCACACGGGGCUCCCUAGGUGCAGCCUCCGGUGUGUGUUAAAACCUGGUGGCCACGGUUCCCUUGUUCAUCUUUUGUUCCAGAAUUUCCUUAGUUUUCUUACUUAUUUUUCCACGUUAACUUCACAAUCAAUCUACCUGAUUCCAGGGUUCUCCGGUGUUUUAAUUGGCCCCGCUGUGGCAGCCGGCCAGCACGAGGGACGGCACCUCGUGACGCCCAGGACAGACCGGGCUUGUUGCUGGUCUGUGGUCCUCAGUCAGGCCUCAGACCCUCUAUAACAGGUAUAGAUGUGCCCGCCGUUUGCUCCUAGAAAUUUACAAUUUUUGUUGCUGUUGGGAAUGGUCCCUUUUCUUUCUUCAUUGUCUCUCCUAACUGGAAGUGCUUGAAUUUGAAAGAUGCUGAUUCCUGACUCUGAAUUUUGUGCACAGCCACCCUCCGAAACUCACCUCUGCCUUCUAAUCAGUUUUCCGGGUCUAUGAGGAGUCGCAGCAGGCUGUGCUCGGGUG